UGAGUGCGAGCUGCUACGGCAGCGAAGUUGGUGACGUCAAGCUUCCAAGAAAAGCCCUAUACCCGUUAAGGCAUCAUGGCCUGUACCCGAAACCGACACAGGUGGGGUGGUAGAGAAUACCGAGGGGCGCGAGGUAACUCUCUCUAAGGAACUCGGCAAAAUGGCCCCGUAACUUCGGGAGAAGGGGUGCCACCGCAAGGUGGUCGCAGUGAAGAGGCCCAGGCGACUGUUUACCAAAAACACAGGUCUCCGCUAAGUCGCAAGACGAUGUAUGGGGGCUGACGCCUGCCCAGUGCCGGAAGGUUAAGGAAGCUGGUCAGCGCAAGCGAAGCUGGCGACUGAAGCCCCGGUGAACGGCGGCCGUAACAAUAACGGUCCUAAGGUAGCGAAAUUCCUUGUCGGGUAAGUUCCGACCCGCACGAAAGGCGUAACGAUCUGGGCGCUGUCUCGGAGAGAGGCUCGGCGAAAUAGAAUUGUCUGUGAAGAUGCGGACUACGUGCACCCGGACAGAAAGACCCUAUGAAGCUUUACUGUAGCUUGGUAUUGUGCCCGGGCUCUGAAUGCGCAGGAUAGGUGGGAGGCUUUGAUCAUCGGCUUGCGGGUCGAUGUGAGCCAACGGUGAGAUACCACUCUUUCAGAGCUAGGGUUCUAACAGUCACCCGUUAUCCGGGGACUGGACAGUAUCAGGUGGGCAGUUUGACUGGGGCGGUCGCCUCCUAAAAGGUAACGGAGGCGCGCAAAGGUCUGCUCAGGCUGGUUGGAAAUCAGCCGACGAGUGUAAAAGCAGAAGCAGGCUUGACUGUGAGACCUACAAGUCGAACAGGGAGGAAACUCGGCUUUAGUGAUCCGGCGGUUCUGCGUGGAAGGGCCGUCGCUCAACGGAUAAAAGUUACUCUAGGAUAACAGGCUGAUCUCCCCCAAGAGUUCACAUCGACGGGGAGGUUUGGCACCUCGAUGUCGGCUCAUCGCAACCUGGGGCUGAAGUCGGUCCCAAGGGUUGGGCUGUUCGCCCAUUAAAGCGGUACGCGAGCUGGGUUCAGAACGUCGUGAGACAGUUCGGUCCAUAUCCGGUGCAUGCGCAGGAAUAUUGAGAGGAGUUCUCCCUAGUACGAGAGGACCGGGAGGAACGCACCUCUGGUGUACCAGUUAUCGUGCCAACGGUAAACGCUGGGUAGCCAUGUGCGGAGAGGAUAACCGCUGAAAGCAUCUAAGUGGGAAGCCCACCUCAAGAUGAGUAUUCCCAUGGCGUUAGCCAGUAAGGUCACGGGAAGAACACCCGUUGAUAGGCUCUAUGUGGAAGCGCAGUAAUGCGUGAAGCAGAGGAGUACUAAUAGACCGAGGGCUUGACC
RNAcentral lists this ribosomal RNA (1349 nucleotides) under metagenome. RNAcentral's name for it is "bacterial LSU rRNA". It matches the Rfam family "Bacterial large subunit ribosomal RNA", at positions 1564 to 2925 of the family's 2925-position model. The record is from RNAcentral.